UGUCGGCGAGUUCGACCAACAUAUCAUAAGAUUUCAUUAAUAAACCACGCCGAUAAUUUGAAGGGACUUGAAUCAAACAUGGAAUAUUUCCAGUUUUUGUGUGGACUUGUCUUCAAUUACGUUGUCGCAGGUCUGUUAUCAAAAGGAAUAUUCAAUCUUCGAAAUCGUGAUGUCGUUUAGAGACCAUAAUUAGUGUAAUGGUAUUUAAAAUUCACAGAGGUAAGCGGUUGUAAUAUUACAGACUGGCAUAAUUUGUCGGUGGCGUGUGACCGUUUUGAUGUCCUGCGGUGCUAUCGCGUCGAAUAAUUAUUACAUCCGGACUACGAAUCAACCCUCAGCCGUGUGAUUCCACAUGUGGUAACACCAUUUGAUGAUGUCACUUGCGAUAAUUGAUAAUGUGGACAGGUGCGCCUGUUUGAUCGAAAAAUUAAAAACCAACUUGUUGAUUAAAAUUUUCAUUAAAAAUCAAUAUAAAAUUUUUAAUUUUGACUUGUUGGCGACAGAAAGCCGUCCAUAAAUACUUCCGGAAUGAGUGUUCCGUGCCCCUUUUUGCUUGUAAUUCAACGCCGUUCGGUGUAAUGUUUAAAGUGAUAUUCCAGUCUUGCGCGUCAAAUGGUGAGAAUGUUCAGGUGUGUGUGCCCCAACUUUGUUAUGGAAACAGAAUUACCACUAAAAUAGUCAUUAUUAGGGUCAUUAGGUAUGACCUGGCCGAUCUUUACAUACAGGACGUAUUUCACCAACUAAUUGCACCGUCUGCAACUCGUAAUUACGACAUGCAAAUUAUUUUUCGAAUUAUAUCCAUAUUUAGCAUAAAAAUUCUAUUCACUGAUACUCCUUCGUUUUGACCCAAAAUGCCUAAAUUAAACUUCACGACCUAAACUUAUUAGUUAUUACAUAAAUGGGCUAUACAACUAAAAUUAUGUAUUACGGGGACAUGUUAUGUAAAGUAUUAAUAAGAUUAUGUUGUUCCAAAUGUUCCAAAUUUUAAACCCAAACA
This is a long non-coding RNA of Tribolium castaneum (red flour beetle), 997 nucleotides long. RefSeq lists it as uncharacterized. NCBI's taxonomy places the organism in Eukaryota, Metazoa, Arthropoda, Insecta, Coleoptera, Tenebrionidae. The transcript has 2 exons. The record is from RefSeq and is a predicted model, not a curated record.